GUGCCAUUGGUGUAGUGGAAACACGCGCCCAGCUUCUGAGCCAAUAAACGAAUUCUCAUCUGGGGCGACUCCGGGGUUCGAAUCCCUGAUGGCGCA
This is a non-coding RNA of Mycena haematopus, 96 nucleotides long. Lineage: Eukaryota; Fungi; Basidiomycota; Agaricomycetes; Agaricales; Mycenaceae. The record is from the annotation of a GenBank genome assembly.